CCAUGAGGGAAAUAUGAAAAGGACUUUGAAAAGAGAAUUAAAUGAGUUUGUAUUUGCUGAACAGAAAAUAAACAGAUUUGAUGUUGCUUGGUGAGAUUGUGGUGCUUGCUUGACAAUAGGUUUUGAUUGUGGGUGCGAUGAUUCUUGCUUUGCUUGCCAGUUUCUAUUUGUACAUUUGAUUACCCUUGCACAUGAAUGGUAAUUUUCCUGCGGGGUUUGGAUUGCAUGUGUUUGUGAUGAUUUGUGUUUUGAUGCAUGUGUCUGGUGCUUUUGUAAUUGCUCAUUUCUUGAAGCUGGGCCUACCCUACUAGAGCUUACAAGCCCUGGCACACAAUUGCUGGCAAAAUGCUUCUGCUUGACCCGUCUUGAAACACGGACCAAGGAGUCUAACAGAUGUGCAAGCUUGAGGGUUGCAUACCUUUGUGCGCAAUGAAAGUGUUGGCUGGGAUAUUUGCACCAGCAGCCGACCAAUUAGCAGACAGAGGUUCGAGUUGGAGCAUAUCUAUUAGGACCCGAAAGAUGGUGAACUAUGCCUGAACAGAAUGAAUUCAGAGGAAACUCUGAU
This 565-nucleotide ribosomal RNA is filed under the name Alexandrium affine. RNAcentral's name for it is "LSU rRNA". It matches the Rfam family "Eukaryotic large subunit ribosomal RNA", at positions 351 to 868 of the family's 3401-position model. The record is from RNAcentral. Lineage: Eukaryota; Dinophyceae; Gonyaulacales; Pyrocystaceae.